Molecule: long non-coding RNA, 1123 nt
Organism: Ailuropoda melanoleuca (giant panda)
Lineage: Eukaryota; Metazoa; Chordata; Mammalia; Carnivora; Ursidae
Exons: 2
Source: RefSeq, a predicted model, not a curated record
CCACUCCCCCUGCUUGUGUUCCCUCUCUCACUGGCUGUCUCUAUCUCUGUCAAAUAAAUAAAUAAAAUCUUAAAAAAAAAAAAAAGAAAGAAAGAAAGCACCAGGAAAGGAUGCUUGAGUUCUAGGCGCUUACUGUGCCAUUUAUAGCCAGGACUCAAUUGUCUGAAUUGGUAAAGAUGACAUGGACAAUAGAGAUUACAGACCCUACAGUUACUAAAUCUCACUUUAGCAAAUAGAUUUGGUCAAAAGCAUGUGUUCAAACAAAUGCUUGUCUUCUUGUUCACAGUAACACCAAUCCAAUAGCCAAAAGAUGGAAGGAGCUAAAUGCCCAUCGACGGAUGAAUGGAUAAAUGAAAUGUGGUGUAGUCAUCUGACGGGACAGUAUUCCGCCAUCCACAACAUGGAUGAACCUGGAAAGCACGCUGAGUGAAAGAAGCCAGAUCCCAAAGACCACGUAUGUCACAGGAACUGCUAAUGCUAGAGAGCUUCCUUGCCGUUAUGGACUGAACGUUUGUCUGAAGGAAGGCAGCUGUCCGCAAGCCAAGCAAGAAACAGGUUCUCAUUAGGAACUAAAUGUGCCUGCACCUUGAUCUUGGACUUCCCAGCCUCCGGAACGGUGAGAAACACAUGUGUGUCGUUGAAGCUGCUGGGUCCGUGGUAUUUUGUUAUGGCAGGCCCACGCUUAGAGACUUGCCUGCAGGCGUCCUUGAAGGAAAUGCUAACGCUCAGUUAGAGGUGAAUGAAAGGAUGUAAUUUUUUCCUUUCUAAGUUCAUGGACUCCCUGGAUUCUCCGCAAAGCUCUCUUGGAUGUCUGUGGACCCUAGUCGAUCGAAGGGAGGGGGGUCUCUCGAACAAGAAUGGAAGACAUAGUGGGGUGGCAAUCAAUGAACCAGAUAAACCACCGAAUAUCUGCUUUGGAAAGGUAAUUUACCAUUGCCUCCUUCAUCUUCUCCGCCCGGCCUCAAUUCCACGGUCCAUACCAGCAGGUUACUCAAAAGGGCUUAGCAACAGUCAGUUGGACAACAGUUGGAGCAGGGAAAAAAAAAAAAAAAAAAAAGACCAGCUUAUAGGUGUCACCUUACAUCUUGGGCGCCAAUAAAAUCCUUGUGUAAUAUGAGUCACA